UACGUAGGGGGCAAGCGUUGUCCGGAAUCAUUGGGCGUAAAGAGCGUGUAGGCGGCCCGGUAAGUCCGGUGUGAAAGUCCAGGGCUCAACCCUGGGAUGCCGGUGGAUACUGUCGGGCUCGAGUCCGGAAGAGGAGUGUGGAAUUCCUGGUGUAGCGGUGAAAUGCGCAGAUAUCAGGAGGAACACCAAUGGCGAAGGCAGCACUCUGGGACGUGACUGACGCUGAGACGCGAAAGCGUGGGGAGCAAACAGG
This 253-nucleotide ribosomal RNA is filed under the name uncultured bacterium. Its description in RNAcentral is "partial 16S ribosomal RNA". It matches the Rfam family "Bacterial small subunit ribosomal RNA", at positions 524 to 776 of the family's 1533-position model. The record is from RNAcentral.